UGUAUAGCUGUAAUUACUGAAUGUACAUAUGUCUAUCGCUAGUGUAGCAGUAGAGCGUGGUUGUUAGGAUAGAAGUGUGUUCUUAGCAAAGAAAGUGAGGAAAUUAAAAGUAGUUCUCCUGGGAA
This is a long non-coding RNA of Sander lucioperca (pikeperch), 125 nucleotides long. RefSeq lists it as uncharacterized. Lineage: Eukaryota; Metazoa; Chordata; Actinopteri; Perciformes; Percidae. The record is from RefSeq and is a predicted model, not a curated record. The transcript is spliced from 4 exons.